GUUGUCCGGAUUUAUUGGGCGUAAAGGGCUCGUAGGCGGCCUGUCGAGUCGGGAGUGAAAGCCCACUGCUUAACGGUGGGUCUGCUUCCGGUACGGGCGGGCUAGAGUAUGGCAGGGGAGACUGGAAUUCCCGGUGUAGCGGUGGAAUGCGCAGAUAUCAGGAGGAACACCGGUGGCGAAGGCGGGUCUCUGGGCCAUUACUGACGCUGAGGAGCGAAAGCGUGGGGAGCGAACAGG
This 237-nucleotide ribosomal RNA is filed under the name uncultured bacterium. RNAcentral's name for it is "partial 16S ribosomal RNA". It matches the Rfam family "Bacterial small subunit ribosomal RNA", at positions 540 to 776 of the family's 1533-position model. The record is from RNAcentral.